RNAcentral lists this ribosomal RNA (147 nucleotides) under uncultured bacterium. RNAcentral's name for it is "partial 16S ribosomal RNA". It matches the Rfam family "Bacterial small subunit ribosomal RNA", at positions 385 to 524 of the family's 1533-position model. The record is from RNAcentral.
GAUCCAGCCAUGCCGCGUGUGUGAAGAAGGCCUUCGGGUUGUAAAGCACUUUCAGCGAGGAAGAACGCUUCGGGAUUAAUACUCCCGAGGAAAGACAUCACUCGCAGAAGAAGCACCGGCUAACUCCGUGCCAGCAGCCGCGGUAAU